UACGAGUGCUUCGAGCGUUAUCCAGAAUCAUUGGGCGUAAAGGGUGUGUAGGCGGCUAUGUUAGUCCUGUGUUAAAUCUUUCGGCUCAACCGAGAGGCUGCAUGGGAAACGGCAUAGCUUGAGGACGGUAGGGGUCUCUGGAACUCAUGGUGUAGCGGUGAAAUGCGUUGAUAUCAUGGGGAACACCGAAAGCGAAGGCAGGUCUCUGGGCAUUAACUGACGCUGAGGAGCGAAAGCAUGGGGAGCGAACAGG
Molecule: ribosomal RNA, 253 nt
Filed under: uncultured bacterium
Lineage: Bacteria
Description: partial 16S ribosomal RNA
Rfam family: Bacterial small subunit ribosomal RNA
Source: RNAcentral